AAAUUGAAGAGUUUGAUCAUGGCUCAGAUUGAACGCUGGCGGCAGGCCUAACACAUGCAAGUCGAACGGUAACAGGAAGCAGCUUGCUGCUUUGCUGACGAGUGGCGGACGGGUGAGUAAUGUCUGGGAAACUGCCCGAUGGAGGGGGAUAACUACUGGAAACGGUAGCUAAUACCGCAUAACGUCGCAAGACCAAAGAGGGGGACCUU
This 209-nucleotide ribosomal RNA is filed under the name Escherichia coli. RNAcentral's name for it is "partial 16S ribosomal RNA". It matches the Rfam family "Bacterial small subunit ribosomal RNA", at positions 1 to 216 of the family's 1533-position model. Lineage: Bacteria; Pseudomonadati; Pseudomonadota; Gammaproteobacteria; Enterobacterales; Enterobacteriaceae. RNAcentral also lists the same sequence under 2 other names. The record is from RNAcentral.